GGAAAUAUUGUUGAGAGAUACCUGUCCUAACAUUGCAUUUUCUAAUUGUCGAUAAAGGAUAAUACCUCAGAGAUAUUGCAGCUUUGGUUCCAGACCACUGCAAUAAAGCAAAUAAUCUCAAUAAAUUUUCACCAGGAGUAGACUCCAUCUCAAGAAACCAAUUUCUUUGCUCAUCCCUAAGAAGCAGCUUGUCAUCCGUUCAAGUUUCAUCAUGAGAUUACAACAACUCGCUCACGUCUUCAGGCUCCACUUCUACUUCUAGUUGUCUUGCUGUUUCCACCACAUCUGCAGAUACUCCCUCCACUGAAGUCUUGAACCCCUCAAAGCACCCAGGAGGGCUGGAAUCAACUUCUUCUGAACUCCUGUUAAUGUUGAUAUUUUGACCUCUUCCCAGGAAUCAUGAAUGUUCUUACUGGCAUCUAGAAUGGUGAAUCCUUUCCAGGCAGUUUUCAGCUUACUUUGCCCAAAUCCAUCAGAGGAAUCACUAUCCAUGGCAGCCACAGCUUUACAAAAUGUAUUUCUUAAAUAUGUAAUAAGACUUGAAAGUCAAAAUCACUCCUUGGGCUGCAGAAUGGAUGCUGUGUCAGCAAGCACAAAAACAACCUUAAUCUGAUUGUGCACCUCCAUCAGAGAUCUUGGGUGACCAGGCGCAUUGUCAAUGAGCAGUAGCAUUUUGAAAGAAAUCUUUUUUUCUGAGGAGUAGGUCUCAACAGUGUGCUUAAAAUAUUCAGUAAGUCAUGUUGUAAACAGAUGUGCUGUCAUCCAGGUUUUGUUGUUGCAUUCGUGGAGCACAGGCAGAACAGAUUUAGCCUAAUUCUUCAGGGCCCCAGGAUUUUCAGAAUGGUAAAUGAGCAUUGGCUUCAACUUAAAGUCACCAGCUGCAUUAGCCCCUAACAAGAGAGUCGGGGGCCAGCCCUGUGGCCAAGUGGUUAAGUUUGUGCACACUGCUUCGCCAGCUGAGGCUUCGCCAGUUUGGAUUCUGGGUGCGGAUCUAUGCACUGCUCAUCAGGCCAUGCCGUGGCGGCAUCCCACAUAGAAGAAUUAGAAAGACCUGCAACUAGGAUAUAUAACUGUAUUGGGGCUUUGGGGAGGAAGAAAAAAAAAAGAGGAGG
This 1112-nucleotide long non-coding RNA is filed under the name Equus caballus (horse). RNAcentral describes it as "lncRNA (ENSECAG00000055317.1)". The record is from RNAcentral. Lineage: Eukaryota; Metazoa; Chordata; Mammalia; Perissodactyla; Equidae.